RNAcentral lists this ribosomal RNA (253 nucleotides) under uncultured bacterium. RNAcentral describes it as "partial 16S ribosomal RNA". It matches the Rfam family "Bacterial small subunit ribosomal RNA", at positions 524 to 776 of the family's 1533-position model. The record is from RNAcentral.
UACGGAGGAGGCAAGCGUUAUCCGGAAUUAUUGGGCGUAAAGCGUCCGCAGGUGGCGAUUCAAGUCUGCGGUCAAAGACUGGGGCUUAACCCUGGAAAGGCCGUGGAAACUGAAUAGCUAGAGUGCAGUAGGGGUAGAGGGAAUUCCCGGUGUAGCGGUGAAAUGCGUAGAGCUCGGGAAGAACAUCGGUGGCGAAAGCGCUCUGCUGGACUGCAACUGACACUCAGGGACGAAAGCUAGGGGAGCAAACGGG